GUAAAUGAAGGAGAUUCAACCAACAUCACGUGUUCUACUAACAGUAACCCUGUAGCCUUGAUUACCUGGCACAAUGGUACAACUAACAUAUCCCCUAAACAAACCAACAGUAAUACCUUUACUAUAAAACAACCUACAUGUCUGGAUACUGGUGACUAUACUUGCCACGCUACCAAUAGUGAAAUACCAAAUGUUAAAUACAACCAAACAUUGAAAGUAUUUAUUAACUGUUCACCUAGACAAGAUACUAGAAUUAUAACAACAUCUAUAGUUAGUGGUAAUAUAACAGAUAUAGUACAACUGGUAGCUGAUGUUAUAUCCUAUCCACCACCAACCGUCACCUGGUAUUAUAAUAAUAAAACUACUGGAGAUAUUGAACCUAUCUAUAACGACGACAUCUUUGAAUAUAUUGAUAACCAUACUUCUAUCAACACUUAUAGAUCAACAUUAAAUAUCAACAUUACAUCCAACAUUUAUUAUACAUCAUAUACAGUCAAUGUAUCUAAUAAUAUUGGUUAUACAGAACUAGAGUAUGAAGUUGUAGCUCAAUUUUCAGCUAAACCUGAUGUACCGUUUAAUACCAACUCAUCAGCGACACGUCAUGACAGUAUCUGUAUUACAUGGACACCAGGAUUUGAUGGUGGAGAUCAACAGGAAUUUAUUGUUGAACAUUCAGUAGAUAAUAAAACCUGGACUAGUUCUACACCUCUACCAGAAUCUAAACCUGAUUAUUGUAUAGAGAAUCUACAAGCUGAUACACCAUAUUAUAUUAGAGUUAUAGCUAGAAAUAAUUAUGGUGAUAGUCAACCAGUUUAUCUGAUAUCACCCGAUGGCUCUUCUACAAUACGCACUUUAAAGAUAGUAGACUCACCAGGACCAGGAUCUAACUGGGGAUUAAUAGGUGGAAUUAUUGGAGGAGUUGUGGCAGCCAUUCUGGUUAUUGUAGUUGUGGUUGUCCUUAUCAAAAGACACAGAAAACAAAAUGACGAUACAGAAAACAGACACAACGUGCCCCUGGUAGAAGUUCCAAGUAGACAGCCAGGGAGAAUGAUAAUAGAGGAGGUGGUGAACUACAUCAGUGCUGAUGAAAUUAAGAAAGAUGAAACUGCAAACUAUGCACAAGUAAACAAAGACAAUAAACCAACAGAAAUAAAACCGAAUCCAGAAUCUCUUUAUGCAACUGUAAAUAAAACUAAGAACGAUGAAACAACGGAGUCUACCAAACCUGAUGUCAAACCUAAACCACAUGAUAGCAAACCGAACAAAACGGAUACCAAACCGAAAACAACUGAUGUCAAACCUAAAAUAACAAAUACCAAACCUAAAGUACGGAAUGUUAAAAACAAACAGCCAACAAACGACAAAUCAAAAGGAGAGGCUUAUGAAAAUGUGGGUAUAUUUGGUGACAUCAAUGGUAUUAAUACAAAUGAAUAUGAAAACCAUUCAAUUAAGCCUGGUCCUACCGAAACGGUUUAUGCCGAUCUAGAUUUUGAUGGCCACCAACCAACUACAACCAUACGAGGUCAGGACGAUGUUGUAGAAUACAGUGGUAUUGAUUAUACUAAACGUGGACCACCUCAACAAACACCACCAAAUAGUAGUGAUGAGGAAUCAGACAAUCGAGAGUAAGCAACAUUGUUAGCACACCACUCCAAUAGUAAUAGGAAUAAUACAAUAUUUUGAAUAAUAAUUCUCUUUUUGAUCUAGUUUCUGUGACAACCGAUGUUGAAAUAAGUUUGCAUUAAACAUUUCGCUUGAUUAUAUGAGUAUAUAUAGUUAAUUAUUUAACAUAAUAUCGAUAAGUAGAUAUUGUAGUUUAUUUUGUUAUGAAAUGUAAUAUAAAUAUAAAUGUAAAGUGCAAACAGUGUUUUAUAUUCUAAGUUGUUAAGCAAGUAAUAUUACAACAUUGAACAUUUGAAAAACGGCAAUAUUGCUACAUUAAAGAGGUAUUAUUUAAGAUUUAGGUAAAGAGUUGACCGUUCUCGUUAUAAUAGUUCAAAAAUAUAUAAUGGAAAAUGAAUAUAUUGAAAAUCUCAUUCAAAUUACUUUAUUCGGAGUAGUUUAUUGUUGAUUGUUUAUUGUCGUAACCACGGUACUGGUAUAUUCGAGGCCUAACCUCGCUUCUCCAUUUUUAAAUUAUUUCAUUAAAUCGCCGAACAGUUCUAAUCUAAUUUUAAGGAAAUACAUUUUAACCCUUUAAAAUAGGACAACUAGCCCAAAUUGACGACAGUUUAUCCAAUUGGUCUUCAUUCUCUGUCACAUCGAUUGAUUCACUAGUUGUAGGUUAAGUAUUGCUUUAAAAUACAAGUUACGUCCUAUCCCUAUGAGUAGAUGGUAAAGAAUUCGGAUAUCACAAAUCAUAUUAAUGAUUAUUAAGUUGCAUCUUCCUGUAAUAUCAUUUGUUUAUAAACGCAACGAGGAGAAAAAUAUGUGUUAUUAUAACCUUUCAUUUUUCUGCCAAACAACAAACAAAAAAAACAAAAAAAAGAAAUAAAAAAAUAGCUUGUUGCAUUUGUAUCAUGUGACUCCAGUUCUAAAAUUUGUCGACACAACAUAUAUUGGAUAUUCAACUAGAUUACAGUUAUUAAUAUAACUUGUAUAGAGCAGUAACAUUCUCAUCACAUGUAUAUGUUUAUGUUUGUUAUCACUGAUAUGUACGGAAGACCAUUAGGGUCAAUCAAAAGAAAAAGUAGGCCGUAGUGCCCCUGUCCGGGCAAAAUUUUCCUCAUAGCACACUGUCCGUCUUCAUUAGCCCAAUCGGAGCAGAACAGUAGGACGUUAAACCCCAUUUCAUUUGGAGCAUGAAAAUAAAGAAUGAUAUUAAUGGGAGCAUGGCAUGAAUGUGCCAAUUUUGUAACAUAAAAUAAAGUACGGCGUUGACCUAGUUAUUCGAUAAAUCAGUUUAUGGCGACCUUGAAAUAAAUUACUCAUGGGCUUCAAUCUUGUAUUUACAAGAUAAUUAGAUUUUUUCAUUUGAUUGACCCCAAUGGGGUUUCGUAGGUAUGUUUAUUUUUUACUGUUGAAAUGUAUAUAGAUUAUUUGUUUAGAUAAUGUACGAUUUGAAACAUAUAAUUAGAGUAUGAUAUAAAAAUAAUACAUGUUUGUUUGAAAUAAAUUAUAACGUUUUGUA
Molecule: long non-coding RNA, 3130 nt
Organism: Patella vulgata (common limpet)
Lineage: Eukaryota; Metazoa; Mollusca; Gastropoda; Patellidae
Exons: 10
Source: RefSeq, a predicted model, not a curated record